This 484-nucleotide ribosomal RNA is filed under the name uncultured bacterium. Its description in RNAcentral is "partial 16S ribosomal RNA". It matches the Rfam family "Bacterial small subunit ribosomal RNA", at positions 28 to 507 of the family's 1533-position model. The record is from RNAcentral.
GAUGAACGCUGGCGGCGUGCCUAACACAUGCAAGUCGAGCGGACAGAGGGAGCUUUUGCCUGGAUUCCGCGGCGGGCGGGUGAGUAAUGCACAGGAGUAUGCCUGGCAGUGGGGGAUGACGUCCGGAAGCGGGCGCGGAUACCACAUACGUCCAGAUGGUGAAAGUGGGGGAUCUUUGGACAUCGCGGGAUCUGAUGAGCCUAGGCGGGAUUAGCUAGUUGGUUGGGUAAGGGCCUACCAAGGCGGCGAUCCGUGGCUGGUCUGAGAGGAUGAUCGGCCACACUGGAACUGAGACACGGUCCAGACUCCUACGGGAGGCAGCAGUGGGGAAUCUUCGGCAAUGGGCGAAAGCCUGACCCAGCCACGCCGCGUGUGUGAAGAAGGUCUUCGGAUCGUAAAGCACUUUUAGUUGGGAGGAACGGCUGUAAGUUUAUACCUUGCUGUUUUGACGGUACCGACUGAAUAAGCACCGGCUAACUACGUG